This 517-nucleotide ribosomal RNA is filed under the name Simulium japonicum. Its description in RNAcentral is "partial 16S ribosomal RNA". It matches the Rfam family "Bacterial large subunit ribosomal RNA", at positions 1825 to 2601 of the family's 2925-position model. Lineage: Eukaryota; Metazoa; Arthropoda; Insecta; Diptera; Simuliidae. The record is from RNAcentral.
GUCUUUUUGGUUAUUUAAUAUAAAGUCUGACCUGCCCACUGAAUUUAUUUUGAAGGGCCGCAGUAUUUUGACUGUGCAAAGGUAGCAUAAUCAUUAGUCUUUUAAUUGAAGGCUGGUAUGAAUGGUUGGAUGAGGUACAAGCUGUGUCAUAAAAAUUAACUUUUGAAUUUACCUUUUUAGUCAAAAGGCUAAAAUAAAAUUAAAAGACGAGAAGACCCUAUAGAGCUUUAUAUAAUUUAUAUUUAAAUUAUUUAGAUUUUUUAAAUUUAAUUAUUUCAUUAUAUUUUGUUGGGGUGACAAUAAAAUUUAUAAAACUUUUAUUUUUAUUAAACAUUUAUUUAUGGUUAUAUGAUCCAGUUUUAUUGAUUAUAAAUUUAAGUUACCUUAGGGAUAACAGCGUAAUUUUUUUUGAGAGUUCUUAUCGACAAAAAAGAUUGCGACCUCGAUGUUGGAUUAAGAGUAAUUUUGGGUGUAGAAGUUCAAAGUUUAAGUCUGUUCGACUUUUAAAUUCUUACAU